CCUACGGGAGGCAGCAGUGAGGAAUAUUGGUCAAUGGACGCAAGUCUGAACCAGCCAUGCCGCGUGCAGGAAGACGGCUCUAUGAGUUGUAAACUGCUUUUGUACGAGGGUAAACGCAGAUACGCGUAUCUGUCUGACAGUAUCGUACGAAUAAGGAUCGGCUAACUCCGUGCCAGCAGCCGCGGUAAUACGGAGGAUUCAAGCGUUAUCCGGAUUUAUUGGGUUUAAUGGGUGCGUAGGCGGUCGGAUAAGUUAGAGGUGAAAUCCCGGGGCUCAACUUCGGAAUUGCCUCUGAUACUGUGCGGCUAGAGAGUAGUUGCGGUAGGCGGAAUGUAUGGUGUAGCGGUGAAAUGCUUAGAGAUCAGACAGAACACCGAUUGCGAAGGCAGCUUACCAAGCUACUUCUGACGUUGAGGCACGAAAGCGUGGGGAGCAAACAGGAGUAGAUACCCUUGUAGUC
RNAcentral lists this ribosomal RNA (460 nucleotides) under uncultured bacterium. RNAcentral describes it as "partial 16S ribosomal RNA". It matches the Rfam family "Bacterial small subunit ribosomal RNA", at positions 338 to 795 of the family's 1533-position model. The record is from RNAcentral.